CUAGUUGGUGUGGUAAUGGCGCACCAAGGCGACGAUCGGUAGCUGGUCUGAGAGGAUGAUCAGCCACAUUGGGACUGAGACACGGCCCAAACUCCUACGGGAGGCAGCAGUGGGGAAUAUUGGACAAUGGGCGAAAGCCUGAUCCAGCCAUGCCGCGUGAGUGAUGAAGGCCUUAGGGUUGUAAAGCUCUUUCACCCACGACGAUAAUGACGGUAGUGGGAGAAGAAGCCCCGGCUAACUUCGUGCCAGCAGCCGCGGUAAUACGAAGGGGGCUAGCGUUGUUCGGAAUUACUGGGCGUAAAGCGCGUGUAGGCGGGCUUUUAGGUCAGGGGUGAAAUGCCAAGGCUCAACCUUGGAACUGCCUUUGAUACUGGAAGUCUUGAGUCCGGGAGAGGUGAGUGGAACUGCGAGUGUAGAGGUGAAAUUCGUAGAUAUUCGCAAGAACACCAGUGGCGAAGGCGGCUCACUGGCCCGGAACUGACGCUGAGACGCGAAAGCGUGGGGAGCAAACAGGAUUAGAUACCCUGGUAGUCCACGCUGUAAACGAUGGAUGCUAGCCGUUGGGGGAGCUUGCUCUUCAGUGGCGCAGCUAACGCUUU
RNAcentral lists this ribosomal RNA (599 nucleotides) under uncultured bacterium. Its description in RNAcentral is "bacterial SSU rRNA". It matches the Rfam family "Bacterial small subunit ribosomal RNA", at positions 245 to 861 of the family's 1533-position model. The record is from RNAcentral.